CAUUAUUCAGUUGAAGACCAAUGAGGAUUUGAUGGUUAUGUGAAGAUCAUUUCACCGUAGGAUAACUAAGUCGUCGAACGAGUUAGAUGCGAAGAUUUCAAGAUAUGUCGAUGACAUAAUUAAGAUGUUGAAACGUCCAUAAUCAUCUGGUAGUAUUUAUAUUUUCUUAUUUAUUAUUGUUUUCUUAGGUUAUGUAAUCGUCUAUCUGAAUUAUGUAAGCGUUUGUCAAA
This 230-nucleotide long non-coding RNA is filed under the name Lathyrus oleraceus (garden pea). Its description in RNAcentral is "Pisum sativum (pea) long non-coding RNA (PSAT_LNC037350)". Lineage: Eukaryota; Viridiplantae; Streptophyta; Magnoliopsida; Fabales; Fabaceae. The record is from RNAcentral.